Molecule: long non-coding RNA, 629 nt
Organism: Strigops habroptila (Kakapo)
Lineage: Eukaryota; Metazoa; Chordata; Aves; Psittaciformes; Psittacidae
Exons: 4
Source: RefSeq, a predicted model, not a curated record
GAAGCGCUCCUUGCUGCAGCAACGCUCCUCGGGUGGCGAGAGCUCCAACACCUCCUGAAGACAAGGCAGACAUGGAGGAUUGCAGAGUGCUUGCUGGAGCGGAGCAGGAAAAGGGCUGAGGAAUACCUGGACCAGAGCGUGCCGUACCUGGAGGAUGCUCAGGCCCCCUUGCGAGAGGCAGCCAUCAGGUUCAUCGGACUGGCCGCGCGGCCCCUAAGGGGCAGGAACGAGCUGAAGCUGGAGCAGAUCUGCCGAGCCCUUGAGACGCUGCCGGAGGAAAGCGAUCCCGUCAUCUGUUCCCUGGCAAUUCAGACCGUGCUCAUCCUGAGAAGGCCACCGGUGCGGCGCACGUUGGGAUGGCGCCUGCGAGCGCUCUGCUGCUGAUGCUGGACAGCUGGGAGCGGCAGCCCUUUCCUUAGGGAAAGGGGUGUCAUCCUUAAACCUGGACUAAAGAGCUUCAGAAACAAAAGAGCUAAAAGAGCGGCUCCUGAGCUGCCGCGUUCCCAGCGCUCCAUCUUCUGGAGACAGCAGGGGCAGAGGGACCCUUGCUCUGAAUAGCACCAGGCAGCAGAGAGGCAUCCAGCCAGCACAGACUCCAAACCUGACACCAUGUUAUCCAGCAAUAAAGA